RNAcentral lists this ribosomal RNA (256 nucleotides) under uncultured bacterium. RNAcentral describes it as "partial 16S ribosomal RNA". It matches the Rfam family "Bacterial small subunit ribosomal RNA", at positions 521 to 776 of the family's 1533-position model. The record is from RNAcentral.
UAAUACGGAGGAUGCGAGCGUUAUCCGGAUUUAUUGGGUUUAAAGGGUGCGUAGGCGGAUCAAUAAGUCAGUGGUGAAAUUCUGCAGCUUAACUGUAGACUUGCCAUUGAUACUGUUGGUCUUGAGUAUGGUCAAGGUAGGCGGAAUGUGUAAUGUAGCGGUGAAAUGCUUAGAUAUUACACAGAACACCGAUUGCGAAGGCAGCUUGCUGGGCCAAUACUGACGCUGAUGCACGAAAGCGUGGGGAUCGAACAGG